This 253-nucleotide ribosomal RNA is filed under the name uncultured bacterium. RNAcentral describes it as "partial 16S ribosomal RNA". It matches the Rfam family "Bacterial small subunit ribosomal RNA", at positions 524 to 776 of the family's 1533-position model. The record is from RNAcentral.
UACGGGGGGGGUAAGCGUUGUUCGGAAUUACUGGGCGUAAAGGGCUCGUAGGCGGCCAACUAAGUCGGACGUGAAAUCCCUCAGCUUAACUGGGGAACUGCGUCCGAUACUGGAUGGCUUGGAUUUGGGAGAGGGAUGCGGAAUUCCAGGUGUAGCGGUGAAAUGCGUAGAUAUCAGGAGGAACACCGGUGGCGAAGGCGGGUCUCUGGGCCGGAACUGACGCUAAGGAGCGAAAGCGUGGGGAGCGAACAGG